GAACAGGAUUAGAUACCCUGGUAGUCCAGACCGUAAACCGGUGGGCACUAGUUGUGGGAACCUUCCACGGUUUCUGCGACGCAGCUAACGCAUUAAGUGCCCCGCCUGGGGAGUACGAUCGCAAGAUUAAAACUCAAAGGAAUUGACGGGGCCCCGCACAAGCAGCGGAGCAUGCGGCUUAAUUCGACGCAACGCGAAGAACCUUACCAAGGCUUGACAUAUAGGGAAAAGUGGCAGAGAUGUCAUGUCCGCAAGGGCUCUAUACAGGUGGUGCAUGGUUGUCGUCAGCUCGCGUCGUGAGAUGUUGGGUUAAGUCCCGCAACGAGCGCAACCCUCGUUCUGUGUUGCCAGCAUUUAGUUGGGGACUCACAGGAGACUGCCGGGGUUAACUCGGAGGAAGGUGGGGAUGACGUCAAAUCAUCAUGCCCCUUAUGUCUUGGGCUGCACGCAUGCUACAAUGGCCGGUACAGAGGGCUGCAAUACCGUAAGGUGGAGCGAAUCCCAAAAAGCCGGUCUCAGUUCGGAUUGAGGUCUGCAACUCGACCUCAUGAAGUUGGAGUUGCUAGUAAUCGUAGAUCAGCAACGCUACGGUGAAUACGUUCCCGGGGCUUGUACACACCGCCCGUCACGUCACGA
This 636-nucleotide ribosomal RNA is filed under the name uncultured Actinomycetes bacterium. RNAcentral describes it as "bacterial SSU rRNA". It matches the Rfam family "Bacterial small subunit ribosomal RNA", at positions 770 to 1407 of the family's 1533-position model. Lineage: Bacteria; Bacillati; Actinomycetota; Actinomycetes. The record is from RNAcentral.